AGCAUAUCAAUAAGCGGAGGAAAAGAAACCAACAGGGAUUGCCCUAGUAACGGCGAGUGAAGCGGCAACAGCUCAAAUUUGAAAUCUGGCUACCUUUCGUAGUCCGAGUUGUAAUUUGUAGAGGAUGCUUUUGGUGAGGUGCCUUCCGAGUUCCCUGGAACGGGACGCCAUAGAGGGUGAGAGCCCCGUACGGUUGGAUACCAAGCCUCUGUAUAGCUCCUUCAACGAGUCGAGUAGUUUGGGAAUGCUGCUCUAAAUGGGAGGUAUAUCUCUUCUAAAGCUAAAUAUAGGCUAGAGACCGAUAGCGCACAAGUAGAGUGAUCGAAAGAUGAAAAGCACUUUGAAAAGAGAGUUAAACAGCACGUGAAAUUGUUGAAAGGGAAGCGCCUAUGACCAGACUUGUUUCUGGCAGUUUUGUUAGCCCUCUCGGGGGCUGAUUUACUCUGUCCAGUACAGGCCAGCAUCAGUUUGCUGUCGGGGAGAAAGGCUCUGGGAAUGUGGCUCCCCUCCUCUGGGGGGGAGUGUUAUAGCCCUCUGCAUAAUACCCUUUGGCAGACUGAGGACCGCGCUUCGGCAAGGAUGCUGGCGUAAUGGUCAUCAGCGACCCGUCUUGAAACACGGACCAAGGAGUCAACCUUAUGUGCGAGUGUUUGGGUGUAAAACCCCAGCGCGUAAUGAAAGUGAACGUAGGUGAGAGCUUCGGCGCAUCAUCGACCGAUUCUGAUGUUUUCGGAUGGAUUUGAGUAAGAGCACACAGGGUUGGACCCGAAAGAAGGUGAACUAUGCUUGUAUAGGGUGAAGCCAGAGGAAACUCUGGUGGAGGCUCGCAGCGGUUCUGACGUGCAAAUCGAUCGUCAAAUAUGAGCAUGGGGGCGAAAGACUAAUCGAACCUUCUAGUAGCUGGUUCCAGCG
This 912-nucleotide ribosomal RNA is filed under the name Ceratocystis tanganyicensis. RNAcentral describes it as "LSU rRNA". It matches the Rfam family "Eukaryotic large subunit ribosomal RNA", at positions 37 to 962 of the family's 3401-position model. Lineage: Eukaryota; Fungi; Ascomycota; Sordariomycetes; Microascales; Ceratocystidaceae. The record is from RNAcentral.